RNAcentral lists this long non-coding RNA (272 nucleotides) under Bos taurus (domestic cattle). Its description in RNAcentral is "long non-coding RNA NONBTAT017296". Lineage: Eukaryota; Metazoa; Chordata; Mammalia; Artiodactyla; Bovidae. The record is from RNAcentral.
AAGAUAUUAAAGGUAUUUAUAAAGUGAAAAAUUGAGCUUAUACUGGUAUUCAAAGUCAAAUUCUCCUUUGUCUUCACUUUAUAGGGUAGGAAUUGGGGAAUUUGUUUUUAGCAGUGUUUUAGUUUUUCUCUUGAACUCUCAUUUUCAAGUGUUUAUAUUCAUUCCAUUCUUGCUAGUUCUUAUUUUCCUUCUAAUUUUCUUUUCUCCUGGUUGUAAAGUUGGAUUUUAGUUUACAACUAAAGUUAUUCCCAGGAGCUGUGAAAAUGUCCCAC